This 562-nucleotide ribosomal RNA is filed under the name uncultured bacterium. RNAcentral describes it as "bacterial SSU rRNA". It matches the Rfam family "Bacterial small subunit ribosomal RNA", at positions 363 to 917 of the family's 1533-position model. The record is from RNAcentral.
UUUUCGCAAUGGGGGCAACCCUGACGAAGCAAUGCCGCGUGAAUGAAGAAGGCCUUCGGGUUGUAAAGUUCUUUCGUGGAGGACGAAAAGGUGGGUGCUAAUAUCGCCUGCUGUUGACGUGAAUCCAAGAAGAAGCACCGGCUAACUCCGUGCCAGCAGCCGCGGUAAUACGGGGGGUGCAAGCGUUAAUCGGAAUCACUGGGCGUAAAGGGUGCGUAGGCGGUGCAUUAGGUCUGUCGUGAAAUCCCCGGGCUCAACCUGGGAAUGGCGGUGGAAACCGGUGUACUAGAGUAUGGGAGAGGGUGGUGGAAUUCCAGGUGUAGCGGUGAAAUGCGUAGAGAUCUGGAGGAACAUCAGUGGCGAAGGCGGCCACCUGGCCCAAUACUGACGCUGAGGCACGAAAGCGUGGGGAGCAAACAGGAUUAGAUACCCUGGUAGUCCACGCCCUAAACGAUGAAUACUAGAUGUUUGGUGCCAAGCGUACUGAGUGUCGUAGCUAACGCGAUAAGUAUUCCGCCUGGGAAGUACGGCCGCAAGGUUAAAACUCAAAGGAAUUGACGGG